Molecule: long non-coding RNA, 665 nt
Organism: Peromyscus maniculatus bairdii (prairie deer mouse)
Lineage: Eukaryota; Metazoa; Chordata; Mammalia; Rodentia; Cricetidae
Source: RefSeq, a predicted model, not a curated record
ACAGGAACUAUGAACCAAAGGCUGAGGGGCCCCCAACUGAAUCAGGUCCUCUGAAUAGAUGUAGUCAAAUUGACAACCAAAAAUAACCAUCACAGCAGCAGAACCCAACUUUGAACAGGCUGUCAUGCAGAAAGCAGAACACAGCAAGCAUGUUGAUUCUGAUCAGCGACUCCUUGCUAGUUAUAUGGCUCAAUUGUGUGGCUUCAUGACAGGAUGCCUCAGUGUUUCUAUCUCUCAAAUUGCCUCUCCAUCCCUUCUCCAAUGUGCAGAUGAGGAGGAAGAAUGUCGAAAUGACUCUCUGAAGAUCAGCUCCCAUGGAAACACAGCUGCCCGGAGGAACCAGCAAAUGAGGGGAUUUGGAUCUUCUGAGGCCCAUGUAGGCUUGUAAGGUUGUAAGGUUUCCCCUUACAAGCCGGCUAUCCAUGAGCUGCAGACAUCCACCUACACACAACACUGUCCCUGAAGACAUGACAGCUACAUAUUUUCUUUGCUGUUCGUUCCCCAAGUGUGACCUGUGUAUUGGAUAGACAAAGCUUGUGAGACAGAGUCAGAAUAUCCCUUACCUUUGUCCUAAUGCCUCUUUACUUCUAGUAAUACAGUCAUGACAUUAGUAUAAUUGUAUUAAUGACAUUAAUAUAUAAAAUGGCAUAAAUAAACAAAAUGGC